GCUGACGUAGCUCAACCCGGCAGAGCACCUGUUUUGUAAACAGGCGGUUAGGGGUUCAACUCCCCUCGUCAGCU
This 74-nucleotide transfer RNA is filed under the name Deltaproteobacteria bacterium. RNAcentral's name for it is "tRNA-Thr". It matches the Rfam family "tRNA". From Rfam's summary of the family: Transfer RNA (tRNA) molecules are approximately 80 nucleotides in length. Their secondary structure includes four short double-helical elements and three loops (D, anti-codon, and T loops). Lineage: Bacteria; Pseudomonadati; Myxococcota; Myxococcia. RNAcentral also lists the same sequence under 3 other names. The record is from RNAcentral.